This 497-nucleotide ribosomal RNA is filed under the name uncultured bacterium. RNAcentral describes it as "partial 16S ribosomal RNA". It matches the Rfam family "Bacterial small subunit ribosomal RNA", at positions 28 to 507 of the family's 1533-position model. The record is from RNAcentral.
GAUGAACGCUGGCGGCGUGCCUAAUACAUGCAAGUCGAGCGAACGGACGAGAAGCUUGCUUCUCUGAUGUUAGCGGCGGACGGGUGAGUAACACGUGGAUAACCUACCUAUAAGACUGGGAUAACUUCGGGAAACCGGAGCUAAUACCGGAUAAUAUUUUGAACCGCAUGGUUCAAAAGUGAAAGACGGUCUUGCUGUCACUUAUAGAUGGAUCCGCGCUGCAUUAGCUAGUUGGUAAGGUAACGGCUUACCAAGGCAACGAUGCAUAGCAGACCUGAGAGGGUGAUCGGCCACACUGGAACUGAGACACGGUCCAGACUCCUACGGGAGGCAGCAGUAGGGAAUCUUCCGCAAUGGGCGAAAGCCUGACGGAGCAACGCCGCGUGAGUGAUGAAGGUCUUCGGAUCGUAAAACUCUGUUAUUAGAGAAGAACAUAUGUGUAAGUAACUGUGCACAUCUUGACGGUACCUAAUCAGAAAGCCACGGCUAACUACGUG